This is a long non-coding RNA of Zalophus californianus (California sea lion), 551 nucleotides long. RefSeq lists it as uncharacterized. NCBI's taxonomy places the organism in Eukaryota, Metazoa, Chordata, Mammalia, Carnivora, Otariidae. The record is from RefSeq and is a predicted model, not a curated record. The transcript has 3 exons.
CCACGGAACCCACCCCUUCGUGACCCCGCCUGUUGGUCACCUUCCACCACAACUGAGGAAGUCACCUGGGGAAGCGGACGAGGCCCUGGAGUAGCCCGAGGAGCUGCCCACCCACCAGGAACACUGGGGCAUCGCUCCCCCUUCUUUCCCUUCCCUCAAUUUGAUCCCCAUCUUCUCCCUCUGCUUCCCCAAACGUCCCACGCCCGGUGUCGUGCCCCCCGCCCCGAGCCAUGGAGCCCUCAGAAGCAGCAGACAGAGGAGACAAAGAGGCGGAGACAGAGAAAGGGACUGGCAGGCUGAGUGGUCAGUGCAUGUCAAAGCAGAGAGGGAGGCGACACCGACGUGCCGGAGGACUUCUCAGUGUCUUUAUUAAACCAACGUCCACGUGCAUCUCCAAGAGGAAGAAAUGGGAUUUGGCAUUUCCCAAGCUCCUUUCACCACAGUCUGUUUCUUGGGAAGCCUCUCAUGGGACUUGCGCUUCACCGGACAUGUUUUGGAACGGGAAAUGGACUCAUUCGAUAAAUAUUUAUUGAGCACCUACCACAUGCCAG